Molecule: transfer RNA, 77 nt
Filed under: Clostridiales bacterium
Lineage: Bacteria; Bacillati; Bacillota; Clostridia; Eubacteriales
Description: tRNA-Thr
Rfam family: tRNA
About the family: Transfer RNA (tRNA) molecules are approximately 80 nucleotides in length. Their secondary structure includes four short double-helical elements and three loops (D, anti-codon, and T loops).
Source: RNAcentral
GCUGGUGUAGCUCAGUCGGUAGAGCACUUCAUUGGUAAUGAAGAGGUUCAUGAGUUCGAUUCUCAUCACCAGCUCCA